Molecule: long non-coding RNA, 95 nt
Organism: Haliotis rubra (blacklip abalone)
Lineage: Eukaryota; Metazoa; Mollusca; Gastropoda; Lepetellida; Haliotidae
Exons: 3
Source: RefSeq, a predicted model, not a curated record
CAUGUUGAAAAUAACUACUUUCUCAGUUUCUAAUUUAAUAUUAAAUGUUGAUUUUUAAUGUUUUGAUUUGUCGAUUUAUAAACAAAUGUGUUACA